CUGGCAUCUUGAAUUUAGGGCCCUUCAGUUUCGCAUCUGGACCUUCAAUAUUCACAUCUGGAACAUCAACGUCCACCUUGGGUCCUGAGACGUCAAGGUCAGCCUUGGGCAGGUUCACAUCCACAUCUGGGCCCUCUCCUUUGAAGCCAGGCAUGCUGAACUUGGGCAUUUUCACCUUGGGCAUCUUCAGGUGCCAGUCUGGGCCUUGAACCUCCACAUCUGGGGCAUCAAUGUCCAUUUUGGGUCCUUUGAUUUCAAC
This 259-nucleotide long non-coding RNA is filed under the name Homo sapiens (human). RNAcentral describes it as "HSALNT0176171". The record is from RNAcentral. Lineage: Eukaryota; Metazoa; Chordata; Mammalia; Primates; Hominidae.